AACGAACGCUGGCGGCGGGCUUAACACAUGCAAGUCGAACGGUGAACCCCGUCUUAGCGGAUCAGUGGCGAACGAGGGAUUAACACGUGGGCAACCUUCCCCCAGCUCUGUGAGAACUCCAAGGUAUUGGGGCUAAUGCCGUAUGUGCACCGCUUCCCGCGUGGGAGGUGUUGGAAGGGUUGUCCGGCUUGGGAUGUGCGCGCGGCCUGUCAGCUUGUUGGGUGGGUAGUGUGCUAGCAAGGCGACGACGGGUAGCCGGGCUGAGAGGGUGACCGGCCACACCGGGAUUGAGCCACGGCCCAGCCCACUACGCGAGGCAGCAGUGCGGAAUGUUGUCUUAUGGGCGGAAGCCUGACGCAGUCAAGCCGUGUCGGGGAUGACGGCCUUCGCGUUGUAAACCUAUUCCAGCAGGGACGAAGAGAAAGUGACGGUACCUGCAGAAGAAGCCCCGGCCAACUCCGUG
This 463-nucleotide ribosomal RNA is filed under the name uncultured bacterium. RNAcentral's name for it is "partial 16S ribosomal RNA". It matches the Rfam family "Bacterial small subunit ribosomal RNA", at positions 28 to 507 of the family's 1533-position model. The record is from RNAcentral.